This 253-nucleotide ribosomal RNA is filed under the name uncultured bacterium. Its description in RNAcentral is "partial 16S ribosomal RNA". It matches the Rfam family "Bacterial small subunit ribosomal RNA", at positions 524 to 776 of the family's 1533-position model. The record is from RNAcentral.
UACGUAGGGACCAAGCGCUGUUCGGAUUUACUGGGCGUAAAGGGCGCGUAGGCGGCGCGGUAAGUCAGUUGUGAAAUCUCUGAGCUUAACUCAGAACGGCCAAGUGAUACUGCAGUGCUAGAGUGUGGAAGGGGCAAUCGGAAUUCUUGGUGUAGCGGUGAAAUGCGUAGAUAUCAAGAGGAACACCUGAGGUGAAGACGGGUUGCUGGGCCAACACUGACGCUGAGGCGCGAAAGCCAGGGGAGCAAACGGG